Molecule: non-coding RNA, 229 nt
Organism: Paramuricea clavata
Lineage: Eukaryota; Metazoa; Cnidaria; Anthozoa; Malacalcyonacea; Plexauridae
Source: the annotation of a GenBank genome assembly
AACAGAUGGUAUAAUCUAGUGGCUGCAUCACAAACUGGAUUGCUGCAAGAUUUUUGGCAACAACUACAAUUUUGCGAAUCUUCCAAAACCUUGGCAUAUCAUCAUCAUCGUAACCACUAUGUAUGAUGGCAUCGCAUCUGUAUUUAUGUACCGGUACAUAAUUUUUAUUCUGCCUAGAAGUUGAAAGCCCCAGGCCGGUUGUAUCAAGCAGGGGCGUAGGAAGCGGGGG